Molecule: ribosomal RNA, 436 nt
Filed under: uncultured bacterium
Lineage: Bacteria
Description: bacterial SSU rRNA
Rfam family: Bacterial small subunit ribosomal RNA
Source: RNAcentral
UCAGGCCUAACACAUGCAAGUCGAACGGCAGCGCGGGGGCAACCCUGGCGGCGAGUGGCGAACGGGUGAGUAACAUAUCGGAACGUGCCCUGGAGUGGGGGAUAACCAGUCGAAAGACUGGCUAAUACCGCAUACGAUCUACGGAUGAAAGUGGGGGAUCGCAAGACCUCAUGCUCGUGGAGCGGCCGAUAUCUGAUUAGCUAGUUGGUGGGGUAAGAGCCUACCAAGGCGACGAUCAGUAGCUGGUCUGAGAGGACGACCAGCCACACUGGGACUGAGACACGGCCCAGACUCCUACGGGAGGCAGCAGUGGGGAAUUUUGGACAAUGGGGGCAACCCUGAUCCAGCAAUGCCGCGUGUGUGAAGAAGGCCUUCGGGUUGUAAAGCACUUUUGUCAGGAACGAAACGGUGGGGGCUAAUAUCCUCUGCUAAUGAC